This 377-nucleotide long non-coding RNA is filed under the name Gallus gallus (chicken). Its description in RNAcentral is "long non-coding RNA NONGGAT002851". Lineage: Eukaryota; Metazoa; Chordata; Aves; Galliformes; Phasianidae. The record is from RNAcentral.
CACAGAUGAGCGCAGGAGGUGGCUUGCACCUUCUGUGGCCGGGAGCUGAAACAACAAGCAGUGCCUUGCUCAGGAGCGAGCAAUGUCGAUGUACUGUGAUAGCCUCAGGCACUGAUCUGCAUGAGAACCAGAGGAGAAUUUAGCUGUGCAUGAACUAGACAGUGCUGCAGCAAUGCAAUACAGGCUGCAUGCAGGGCGGAGGAGAGCCCUGUUUGUACUGGGACAGCUACGUGUGGGCACGCAGCCACCAGGCAGGUGCAUUUCACCAACAGUGAAAUGUCAAAGUUAUCAACUCUGUAAAAGUUAAGGAAAUAAAGUUUUACUGCAGGGAAUGACUCAGCUUUAUACCAGCUAUAAAAGCCCGCCCGGUGUUUGUG